GAUGAAGAACGCAGCGAAAUGCGAUAAGUAAUGUGAAUUGCAGAAUUUAGUGAAUCAUCGAAUCUUUGAACGCACAUUGCGCCCGCCGGCACUCCGGCGGGCAUGCCUGUCCGAGCGUCAUUUCAACCCUCGGGCCCACCCUUCGCGGGGAACGGGCCCGGCGUUGGGGACCGGAGGCCGCCUCGGCGGCACCCGCCCCCUAAAUUCAGUGGCGGUCGCGCCGCAGCCUCCCCUGCGUAGUAGCACACCUCGCACCGGAGAGCGGCACGGCCACGCCUCGAAACCCCCCAAUUUUUUCAGGUUGACCUCGGAUCAGGUAGGAAUACCCGCUGAACUUAAGCAUAUCAAUAAGCGGAGGA
This 359-nucleotide unclassified non-coding RNA is filed under the name soil metagenome. Its description in RNAcentral is "partial contains 5.8S ribosomal RNA, internal transcribed spacer 2, and large subunit ribosomal RNA". The stretch from base 1 to 120 matches the Rfam family "5.8S ribosomal RNA", at positions 35 to 154 of the family's 154-position model. The record is from RNAcentral.